CGCACACAUGAUGCCGUGAUUCCGCCAGCGUGGGGCAUGACUGCCCGGCUGCGGCCUUGCUUGCUUCCCUGAUUAUUUCUCCUUAAUUGAGCGUAAAGAAUGUGAGGAAUGUGGAGUAGACCGCAUGAGGAGGGCUGCUGCAGCCCCCUUGGGGAUCUGGGAUUCUGAGCUCUGGAUGGGAGAACUACAGAGGGCUGCUGAACCCCACAAAGUGUGUCGUUCCUGGGCCCCCCACCCUUGCCCACGGUGGCCAGUCCACUUCUCCAACCUCUGAUCGGUUUCCUCUCUGCUCUGGGGUUUUCUUCUUCCUUCUCGCUGCACCAAGAAUUUCAUUUCUUUAUAAAACCGGCUACGAUCGCCUCUCUUCCCAGGAGUCCGCCUUGACUUAAACCCAUGCGACGUUGGCAAUCCUUAUCCAUCUGUAAUUCCGGGUAGAACUCGGGAAGCUGUUCACUCUCCUCCAAUGGAAGAGGGAGGGGCAAUGGUUCUGGCCCCUCGUUGGCCUUGCUUAGCUGUUGGGAACCCUGUGUCCAGGCUGUGGGAAGAUCUGAGUCGAUGUGUGAUGUCCUGCCGCUUAACCUGCCAGGAAGGCAGCCAGCUGUAACUCCAGCCUGAGAGAGAGGGGGUGUCUAGGAGCGGGUCAUGGCUCAUGCAGUGAACACCGUCGACACCUACCAUGUGCCAGGCACUGUGCAGGAAGGUGGGCUUUACCGGAGUGAACUUUGGAAGCAUCCAGGCUGAGAGAGAACUGGAUGCUCUCUGGAGCCUGCAUUUCGUUUCUCUGGCUGUUGUUGAGAAAAGGAGGGACCCAGCUCUGCACCUGGCCACUGCAAACCCCAUAAAGUUCACGGUAUGACUCUUCCAUGGACCAUAACCUCCUCCCAUCCCUAAUCCGGCCCAGGCAGGACUGAGUUGGAGGAUGCUGGAUCUGCCAGGAGAGGAGAAAGGGGAGGGGAGGAUUGUUUCAGGCUGUUAAUAGUCUCGAAAUAAAGCCUGAAGACAAGA
Long non-coding RNA from Felis catus (domestic cat), 1005 nucleotides. RefSeq lists it as uncharacterized. The transcript has 3 exons. The record is from RefSeq and is a predicted model, not a curated record. NCBI's taxonomy places the organism in Eukaryota, Metazoa, Chordata, Mammalia, Carnivora, Felidae.